GGCUCUGUGGAGCUAUGGACAGCGCAUUUGACAUCUUGGUGAGAGAAGAACGCAUUCAAAGGUUGUGGGUUCGAGUCCCACCAGAGUCA
Danionella cerebrum is the source of this 89-nucleotide non-coding RNA. Lineage: Eukaryota; Metazoa; Chordata; Actinopteri; Cypriniformes; Danionidae. The record is from the annotation of a GenBank genome assembly.